UGAUGGGGAAGCCCUUCGGGGCGAAGUAGCUGAUUUCAUACUGUCAAGAAAAGCUUCUAUCGAGUUUAAAGGCGCCCGUACCGUAAACCGACACAGGUGGGUGAGGAGAGUAUCCUAAGGCCAGCGAGAGAACUAUUGUUAAGGAACUCGGCAAAAUGACCCCGUAACUUAGGGAGAAGGGGUGCCUGUCUAUGACAGGCCGCAGAGAAUAGGCCCAAGCGACUGUUUACCAAAAACACAGGUUUCUGCUAAGUCGCAAGACGAUGUAUAGGAGCUGACGCCUGCCCGGUGCUGGAAGGUUAAGGGGAUCUGUUAGAGCAAUCGAAGCAGUGAACUUGAGCCCUAGUAAACGGCGGCCGUAACAAUAACGGUCCUAAGGUAGCGAAAUUCCUUGUCGGGUAAGUUCCGACCCGCACGAAAGGCGUAACGAUUUGGGCACUGUCUCAACAAUAGACUCGGUGAAAUUGUAAUCCCGGUGAAGAUGCCGGGUACCUGCGACAGGACGGAAAGACCCCAUGGAGCUUUACUGUAGCUUGACGUUGGGUCUUGGUACUACAUGUACAGGAUAGGUGGGAGACUAUGAAGCAUGGACGCCAGUCUGUGUGGAGUCAUCCUUGGGAUACCACCCUUGUAGUACUGGGAUCCUAACCAUAGGCCUUGAAUCAGGUCUUGGAACACCGUCAGGUGGGCAGUUUGACUGGGGCGGUCGCCUCCUAAAAAGUAACGGAGGCGCUCAAAGGUUUCCUCAGCACGGUCGGAAAUCGUGCGAAGAGUGUAAAGGCAAAAGGAAGCUUGAUUGCAAGACAUACAGGUCGAGCAAGGACGAAAGUCGGACUUAGUGAUCCGGUGGUACCGCAUGGAAGGGCCAUCGCUCAACGGAUAAAAGCUACCCUGGGGAUAACAGGCUUAUCUCCCCCAAGAGUCCACAUCGACGGGGAGGUUUGGCACCUGAUGUCGGCUCAUCACAUCCUGGGGCUGUAGUAGGUCCCAAGGGUUGGGCUGUUCGCCCAUUAAAGUGGUACGCGAGCUGGGUUCAGAACGUCGUGAGACAGUUCAGUCCCUAUCCGUCGCAGGCGUAGGAAAUUUGAGAAGACCUGUCCUUAGUACGAGAGGACCGGGAUGUAGAGCAUAGGUGGGAGACUAUGAAGUUAGGGCGCCAGCCUUGGCGGAGUCGACAAUGGAAUACCACCCUUAUCAGUCUGGAAUUCUAACCUUGGCCCGUUGAUCCGGGUCGGGGACAGUGU
Molecule: ribosomal RNA, 1244 nt
Filed under: metagenome
Description: bacterial LSU rRNA
Rfam family: Bacterial large subunit ribosomal RNA
Source: RNAcentral